CGUCCGUCUGUCUCACUCUCUCUCCCUCGCAUUCCACAGUAAAGGUAAGCGGCGACGGAAGCAAAGACCGUGCUGUUCAGUCUCUUUGCCGCCUUCAUUGACGCUUUCUCCGUUUUCCUUCUUAGGCUUAGUUUUUGGAAUUGAUGGCGUCCAAGUUGCAGCAGUUGCAGUCCAAGGCAUGUGAAGCUUCUAAGUUUGUGUCUAAGCAUGGAACUGCCUACUACAAGCAGUUGUUGGA
Molecule: unclassified non-coding RNA, 238 nt
Filed under: Hevea brasiliensis (rubber tree)
Lineage: Eukaryota; Viridiplantae; Streptophyta; Magnoliopsida; Malpighiales; Euphorbiaceae
Source: RNAcentral